This is an RNA transcript of Drosophila biarmipes, 1263 nucleotides long. It is a transcript of the gene named electron transfer flavoprotein subunit beta, with no coding region annotated. The record is from RefSeq and is a predicted model, not a curated record. NCBI's taxonomy places the organism in Eukaryota, Metazoa, Arthropoda, Insecta, Diptera, Drosophilidae. The transcript is spliced from 4 exons.
UCUGGCAACGCUGUCGGCACACAAGACCUUUGGACCACCCGCUCCCCCUCCGCCUAUAAAUCAGUUCAUUUCUAUCUUGCAAAAGAAAAUGGCGCGUGUCUUGGUUGGAGUUAAGCGUGUGAUCGACUACGCCGUCAAGGUGCGCGUCAAGCCUGACAAGUCGGGCGUGGUCACCCAAGGCGUGAAGCACUCGAUGAAUCCCUUCGACGAGAUCGCCGUGGAGGAGGCAGUGAAGCUGAAGGAGAAGAAGCUGGCCGAGGAGGUCAUCGCCGUCUCCGUCGGUCCUGCCCAGUCCCAGGAGGUGAUCCGCACCGCCCUGGCCAUGGGCGCCGAUCGUGGCGUCCACGUGGAGAUCCCAGCCGCCGAGUACGAGCUCCUGCAGCCCAUCCACGUGUCCAAGAUCCUGGCCAAGCUGGCGCUGGACGAGAAGGCCGACCUGGUGAUCCUGGGCAAGCAGGCCAUCGACGAUGAUGCCAACCAGACGGCCCAGAUGACGGCCGCUGUCCUGGACUGGCCCCAGGGCACCUUCUGCAACAAGAUCGAGAAGACCGAUGCCGGUCUGACCAUCACCCGUGAGAUUGACGGCGGUCUGGAGACGAUCAAGACCAAGACACCGGCUGUCCUGAGUGCCGAUCUCCGGCUGAACACUCCUCGCUACGCAACGCUGCCCAACAUCAUGAAGGCCAAGAAGAAGCCUCUGAAGAAGGUCACGGCCAAGGAUCUCGGCGUGGACACCUCUCCGCGCAUCGAGGUCGUCUCCGUGGAGGAUCCUCCAGUGCGCCAGGCCGGUGCCACCGUCGCCGAUGUGGAUGCCCUGGUGGCCAAGCUGAAGGAGGGCGGCCACGUCUAGAUCCUCCUUAACUAGCAAAUUGUGAGCGCAAAUUCUACGUUUUUAAUUAGUUGAAGUUACCUAUCAGAAACGUGCAUUUAUCCCAGCCUCCGAUCGUCGGAUCUGCUGACAGGCUUUAAAAUUCUACCCAUCCCCCGUGUGCUUUAAGUGAAAUCUAAAUUGGAAUUUAUUUUCGGUGUGUCCAGCUGUAAGAAUAAAGUGAUUGAAAUCGCAACCCCGCUCAACUUGAUGCCCAAAAAAAGGCGCCGAGGUCAACACCCAAUGUUCAUUGAUUUUUCAUUGUUUUCGAUCGUAUUUAUUAGCGGUAAACUUGAAAGGAAAACAUUUGCUAAUGUGUUUUAUAUAAGAGUAAAAAUCGUAUAGAGAUAGUAUAUGUUUGUUCAUAAAAUUCUCAACUACAGGCUAAAAUCCUA